Molecule: long non-coding RNA, 1080 nt
Filed under: Triticum aestivum (bread wheat)
Lineage: Eukaryota; Viridiplantae; Streptophyta; Magnoliopsida; Poales; Poaceae
Description: long non-coding RNA (TAES_LNC009597)
Source: RNAcentral
GCGGAAGAUCAAAUUCACCGUGAAAGAACACACCCUUGCCUGCAACUCUUCUUGUGCUGAUCAGGCAACAACCUGAAGAAAACGUGGGCAAAAGAAUUGCUAAGACUGGGCAAAUUUCCCGAAGUGAACUACAGCAAAGGUAACAAGGUUGUUCCAAUUUUUUGACCAUGAGAUCCUUUUUAGUUCUACUAGAACUAGUAGUACUCCCCAGAUGUUCCUCCUGUACUCCAGUAUUGCAGCUUUGCCUCCUAUACAUUAGUGUUGCAAGCCUGAUUUGAAUUAUGGCCCCAAAUCUAUCCCUUCUUCUUGCCUCCUGUACAACCAUGGUGCUAGACAAAAGUUGCUGGCUCUUGAAUUGUUUCUUGCCUGUAGUUAUGCAUAUUGCUUCUGCAAAAAAUAAACAAAGACAGACUAAUUAAUUGCAGAAUCUUGCCUGUUUUAUUGUAGAAAAAAUUGUUAAGAAUCGGGGUAUGAUAAAGAUAAAAGUGGAUAACAAACUAUUGUAGUUUCUUACAAAAGGUCCAGUAUCUUACGAAACAGGGCAAAAACUGGGCAAAAAAUAAUCAGUAGGGGGAGAAGUAUAGUUGCUUACAAAAGCACAAAAGAAAAAGGCAAAAGAAAAAGGCUGGUAUGUGAACCUAGCAAUGAUUCGGUAAAAAAAUGCUCCCUGCUCAUUUAGUAUAUGUAUUAAUUCCUUCCCCUAUUUUGUCUUCUGAAAUGUGCAGAUGGCCGGCUUUGAUCUCAAUGAGCUUCCUGAUGACUUUGUUGACUGUGAUGGUGGUCCCCUGUUCUGCACACAAGCCCAACCUGAAAAAGUCCCCAUUUCAAUCAAGGGGGUGGGCGAGUUGCCGGAUUUGUGUUCUGCUCCUGUCCAAGAUGUCGUAGGUGUGGGGUUUCGUGUUGUGGCUACUGGUGUGUCUGAUGCGACGGCAACUACUGAAACUAUCGCACCCGCACCUGCCAUGUUCAGCCCGGCUGCAACUCUGCCUAGCAAUGGUGGGCAAGGUCAUGCAAGUAGCGCUGGCUUGUUAGGUUUUGAUGAGAACGAGGUGUGAUCUAGCCCACAGGAACCUUAUGCCG